AUUGAACGCUGGCGGCAUGCUUUACACAUGCAAGUCGAACGGCAGCGCGGGCUUCGGCCUGGCGGCGAGUGGCGAACGGGUGAGUAAUACAUCGGAACGUGCCCAGUAGUGGGGGAUAGCUCGGCGAAAGCCGGAUUAAUACCGCAUACGACCUGAGGGUGAAAGCGGGGGAUCUUCGGACCUCGCGCUAUUGGAGCGGCCGAUGGCAGAUUAGCUAGUUGGUGGGGUAAAGGCCUACCAAGGCGACGAUCUGUAGCUGGUCUGAGAGGACGACCAGCCACACUGGGACUGAGACACGGCCCAGACUCCUACGGGAGGCAGCAGUGGGGAAUUUUGGACAAUGGGCGAAAGCCUGAUCCAGCAAUGCCGCGUGUGUAAUGAAGGCCUUCGGGUUGUAAAGCACUUUUGGCGGGAACGAAAAGGACUGUGCCAAUACCACGGUUCGAUGACGGUACCCGCAGAAUAAGCACCGGCUAACUACGUG
Molecule: ribosomal RNA, 484 nt
Filed under: uncultured bacterium
Lineage: Bacteria
Description: partial 16S ribosomal RNA
Rfam family: Bacterial small subunit ribosomal RNA
Source: RNAcentral